AGUGAACGCUGGCGGUAGGCCUAACACAUGCAAGUCGAACGGCAGCACAGUAAGAGCUUGCUCUUACGGGUGGCGAGUGGCGGACGGGUGAGGAAUACAUCGGAAUCUACUUUUUCGUGGGGGAUAACGCAGGGAAACUUACGCUAAUACCGCAUACGACCUACGGGUGAAAGCAGGGGAUCUUCGGACCUUGCGCGAUUGAAUGAGCCGAUGUCGGAUUAGCUAGUUGGCGGGGUAAAGGCCCACCAAGGCGACGAUCCGUAGCUGGUCUGAGAGGAUGAUCAGCCACACUGGAACUGAGACACGGUCCAGACUCCUACGGGAGGCAGCGGUGGGGAAUAUUGGACAAUGGGCGCAAGCCUGAUCCAGCCAUACCGCGUGGGUGAAGAAGGCCUUCGGGUUGUAAAGCCCUUUUGUUGGGAAAGAAAAGCAGCAGGUUAAUACCCCGCUGUUCUGACGGUACCCAAAGAAUAAGCACCGGCUAACUUCGUG
Molecule: ribosomal RNA, 492 nt
Filed under: uncultured bacterium
Lineage: Bacteria
Description: partial 16S ribosomal RNA
Rfam family: Bacterial small subunit ribosomal RNA
Source: RNAcentral